CUUUCAGUCAACUCCUUUCAAAAACAAGUGUUUUCAUCAAACAGAAAUUAACCCAUUCCAGAUACCUUUUCAAAGUCCUGAAGGUACAGAUCCAGUUCUACCUUGGGAAAGCAUGUGACCAUCUGCUCCAAUGUGGACAAAGCAUGAAUUUUGAAGCCCCAGAAACAGUGAAUAUUGUGAAAUAGUUGUCUGUGAAUGGACAGUUCCAGGACUAAGCAAACAUGAAAAGUUUCAACAGUAGGGCAGACUGUCAGCUCCCUCAUCUGUCA
Molecule: long non-coding RNA, 269 nt
Filed under: Anser brachyrhynchus (Pink-footed goose)
Lineage: Eukaryota; Metazoa; Chordata; Aves; Anseriformes; Anatidae
Description: lncRNA (ENSABRG00000003908.1)
Source: RNAcentral